RNAcentral lists this long non-coding RNA (295 nucleotides) under Elaeis guineensis (African oil palm). RNAcentral describes it as "long non-coding RNA (EGUI_LNC022200)". Lineage: Eukaryota; Viridiplantae; Streptophyta; Magnoliopsida; Arecales; Arecaceae. The record is from RNAcentral.
CUGGUGCUCCACUUCUUUUGAAAAGCACAGCAAAGAGGGGGAGAGCUGUAGAAUGAAUAGGGAGAUGAUAGGGAUUUAGGAGACAGACUGCAGAGUGAAGAUUACAUCAGAGAGGAAAGCAAGAGAGCAUUAAAUUUGGCUUGUUGAUAGCUCUCCUAGUGAGGAAGUAAUACAUCCUAAUCAUCAAGUUAAGAUGGAUAUUCUUAUCAUGUAAAUAUAAAGCCAUCCUUAUUUGUAACUAUAAUCAGCCAUGAUAGUGACGAAAGCACAUUUGGUCCACAAAGGAAGCUUGGGC